UGGUUCUGGCAUNGAUGAAGAACGCAGCGAAAUGCGAUAAGUAAUGUGAAUUGCAGAAUUCAGUGAAUCAUCGAAUCUUUGAACGCACAUUGCGCCCUCUGGUAUUCCGGGGGGCAUGCCUGUUCGAGCGUCAUUACAACCUCAAGCUCUGCUUGGUGUUGGGCCGCAUCUCAAGAGAUGGGCCCUAAAAUCAGUGGCGGUGCCAUCUAGCUUCUGGCGUAGUAAUUUUCUCGUCAUGGAUGCCUGCAUGAGCGCCUGCAGUACCAUCAUUUUUCAAAGGUUGACCUCGGAUCAGGUAGGGAUACCCGCUGA
Molecule: unclassified non-coding RNA, 312 nt
Filed under: uncultured fungus
Lineage: Eukaryota; Fungi
Description: partial contains 5.8S ribosomal RNA and internal transcribed spacer 2
Rfam family: 5.8S ribosomal RNA (bases 1-133)
Source: RNAcentral